AACUUUAUUUUUACUGGUGACACUAUUACAGAUAGAUAGAACGACCACAACCAUAUUAACAAACCAAAAACCUGUGCACAGAAACAAGAUGAAAAAAUUGUAUCAGCAUGUUAACCACAGCCUUUGGAUGACAAUAUGGGUGAGUCUCUCUUCUACAUUUCUGUAACUUCCAAGUUUCUAUGAUGAACACAUACUGGGGUUAUAAUGGAAAUACAUGGAAUAAAGGUAGGUCACCAAAACACUCGGAUGAAGACCGUUCCAGAAAGCCAGGACAAAAUACUUGACCAUAAACCCACAACGACCACACAACCAUUUCUCAGCUGUUUUCCGUGUUUCUUCCCGUCUUUGACACACCACGUACUCGUCCUAAACAGCCCAACAGCCAGACCGUGCACAGGUUCGAGGUGUAAACAGCAAUGGCGACAGGUGCCAGGAGCCUGGGUGCAUUUCUUUUCUUCCACUUUCCUGAAAUCUCCCCAAAGUUUGCCAUGAGUAUGUAUUGUACUUGGAAUGGAAAAAUACAUAUGCUAAGAUUGAAUACCAAACACCUAGGAUCAUUCAAGGAAUUUGAGACAAAAUAGUUAACCAUACUCCCACAACGACAACACUGUUUUAAUUAUUUUCCGCAUGUUUUUCAUUUGAGACUGUAUGCACACAUACUUCACACUGUCAUAAUCACAAGCUUGUGCACUGAAACGAGAUGGAGGAAACACAGCAAGGUGUUUGCGGCAGUUGUUAGGUGCUGGGAAUAUGGGUGACCUUUUUUUCCUUCUCUCAUUUAUUUUGAAUUUUCCAAUUUUUCCUCUGGGUGUGUGUUAUGUUUGUAAUGGAAACACACAUAAUCAACCUUGUCAUCAGGACACCGUUAUAAGGAACAUCUGAAACGGUGAGGAUGAGCGUGUUUAAUUGUAAUUCCACGAAAGUAACAGCUAUUUGAAUACACAGCUGACACAGUUAGGAUCAUAAACCUGUGCACAGAAACGAGAAUAACCCAUAUGCUGAGGAGUAUACCUGUCUUUGGAUGGUGAGUAGAUGGAUUUUUUUUUCCCUCCACUGUUCUGUAUUUUCCAAAUUAUGUUCACAAUGGAAAAGUGAUGACAGACUUUUUAGUAACGCUACCAUAUGGAACGUUCAAGGAAUUUAAGAAAAUAAUGCUCAGCUAUAAGCAACUACAACAACACCACCACAACGGCUUUUGACUAUAAGCAUACAUUUUUAAACAGGUAUAGCUGUAGUAUAAAUAUAAUUCUGCGUCCUGUUUCUUCCACUCAGUAUUCCGUAAAUAUAUUUCCACGUUGCUACAUAACUCUUCAUGAUUAUCAUUUUUAAGCAGCUGCGUACGAUUCCACAGACAUGUUCUCUUAACUGUUUUCCUAUUUUUGGCAUUUAGACGUUGUUCCUAAUUUUCACUAACCUAAGGUUGGACAGACACCCUGAUGUUUGGCAAGCUGCUUUCUGAAAAGGGUCUGCUACUUCGUGCUUCCAAGGGCGAUGCACCCGGGCUCACCCGGCCAACGCCAGCGCGGGCUCCGUUUCCCGGUCCCUGCGUCCCCUGGGUGUGGGUUCCAACCGCAGGUCUUUUUAUGCCGCUGGCCCUCAGUCACGCUGUGCCACCAACAAGGCCCCUUCUUCCAACCUGCCCGAGCUCUUGCCCGGUGGUUCCCACCCCUUGGCCUUCUGGUCCCUGCUUCUGCUGUCUCUCCUGUCAGCUUGUGAUCACAGGGGAAACUGAGGCCACCAGACAGACAAGAGGACAGCUGGGAGGAAGGGCCCGGCGGCAACAGAACAAAUUAAGGCUGCUGGGGAACCUGAGUCCAUGUGAAGCUCGAGUUGGCUGUCAAGAACUUCUUCUUCUUUUUUUUUUUUUAAAUAUAAGUUAGACACAGGGUCGAGGGUCAGGGUUGAGGUGAAGACGAGAAUGGAGUUUCACGGUACAAAGCUCUAAGGAUACUAGCUCCUGGGCGCCCAGGGUGCAAACAGACUUGUGGCAACACAGACGGACGGACGGAGCCACGUUGCUACUUGUCACUUAAGGCAGGAAGCGCACAAAGGAAGUGACGGAAUCGGCGCCUGCGUCCUUAUUUACAAGGUGGGAGCCUCCCCUGUGGUUCUCAACCUUCAUCAGGCACACUCGUGAUCUAGUGAUGGUUGCAACCCACUCUUUAAAGGCAAAGACGUAAGAUUUACAGGGAAAAGCUUCGGCUUUUGUGAAUUCACUCUCAAACACACACCAAGCUGGUUUCAAAAAAAAAAAAAAAACUUGUAAUAUUUUUGCACGAGAACCACUGCAGGCGACAAGGUGUGGCAACCACUAAAUCUGGGGUCACAAAAGGCCAAUCCACACACUGCAAAGGCGUAUACACAGGGUUAGGUUCCAAGGCGUCGGUGUAGACGGAACGGCUGGAAAGGAAGCUUCAAGCACUUCCUUUUCAGACAGCAAAGCACGAAAGAUGGCUUAUCUUUCAUGGCUACACCUUCAGAGGAAUAGUUAGCAGUGAGGCACAACACAAUCACUCAAAACGAUA
Molecule: long non-coding RNA, 2525 nt
Filed under: Sus scrofa (pig)
Lineage: Eukaryota; Metazoa; Chordata; Mammalia; Artiodactyla; Suidae
Description: lncRNA (ENSSSCG00015033300.1)
Source: RNAcentral